Molecule: long non-coding RNA, 1992 nt
Organism: Cornus florida
Lineage: Eukaryota; Viridiplantae; Streptophyta; Magnoliopsida; Cornales; Cornaceae
Exons: 2
Source: RefSeq, a predicted model, not a curated record
GAAUGUUUGCUAGUUGUGCUUAAAUGAAGCUUAUUAUAUAAUAGUAUAUGAUUUGCUAUCUAAAGUGAUCCAAAGGCCAUAAGUUAUCUGGUCAGCUUUUAUUUGAAGUCAAGGGCUGUGAUUAAUUCUUUGAUUAGAUAGCUUUUGUGUGGCUGUAAGAAGCUGGUGCGUUCUCUCUCUAACGGCUUCAUAGUUUAGAGAUACAUUUGUAGAUCAGGUAUGCAUCUGUUAGAGAAAACACAAAAACUGAACAGAAAAACUAUCAGAGUGCUUAAAGAUGAAGACACAUUGUGAGCUCCAGAGAAAAAUCAGGGUGACAUAGCAGUGCGCAAGGAAAAAUCAAGAAAGAUUGAGUGGGUCUGUGCUUCAUUAACAAUCUGAGAUAACCUGUGAUGUUCAUCUAUUGAAGACCAAAGAGUGAGCCUGAUUGCAGACGAAUUUAGAGCAACCAUGAAGACCCAUUUUGGCCGAAGUCCUGUUGAAGAAAAAUAGGUGACACUCUAUUGAAGAACCCAUCACCGGAGAGCUACAACGACCACACCGAAGAGCUACAACGACCAUACCUGCUUGAAGACUUCAUUACAGCGAGCUGAAAUCUCUAUCGGUGAGAAGACCUCAUUCCAGUGAUAUUCAUUCUCAGUCCAGUGAGCUCAAAUAGCAGUAUACCAGGACGGCAAAAAUCUCUAAGCUUGUAUCCAAGCUUCGGUGCAGUUUCAUCCUACAGAAAUAUUUCAAGCGAGCUUCAGUCCAGUUCCGUUCAAACAAACACCAUCUCCGGUUGAAGCUUUGAAGUUGAUAAGAUCAAAUCCAGAAGCGGAGUGCAAUGUUUAUCAUAGCGAAGGUCUACUUGUGUCAGGUUUCACCACCUGUAGAAAAGGUCUUAAAUCAUGGCAGAUGAAGGUCAGGCUAUUAACAAAGCUCCAGGAUUUGAUGGGACAGACUAUGACUCAUGGAAGAUUAGGAUGAAGGCAUUUUUAAUGUUUCAAGCCUAUGAGGUUUGGCAAGCUGCUACAAUAGGAAUUGUUGUACUCGAUCCUAAUAACCCCUCAACCGCAGAUAGAACAGCUUUGUCAAAUGAUGGCAGAGUGAAACAUGAUCUGUAUUACGCAUUGAAGCAACAGGAGUUCACCAGAGUGAAAAAUUGUAAAACUGCAAAAGAAAUAUGGGAUUCUUUAAAAGCUGCUCAUGAGGGAAACAAUAUUAUUAAGGAGAACAAGAUUUAGCUUCUUAAGGUUCAAUACGAAGGAUGCAAAAUGGAAGAGAAGGCGAAUGUAGCGGAAUACAUGUUUAGAAUUAAUAAAAUUGUCAACAACAUAAGAGCUCUUGGUGAAGACAUGAAGGGCUCAGAAGUGUGCAAAAAAAAUACUCAGGUCACUAACACCUAGAUUCAAUCCAAAAGUGACUUUUCUUGAUGAUAAGGAAAUAUCCAAAAUGACUAUUGAUGAUUUGCAAGCCUUUUUGACUGCAUAUGAGAUGAGGAUUAGUGUUCAGACUCAAUAUAGAAGAGAAACUGCUGUAAAGGCUAAGGAAACUGUGGAAGAAGAAGUUCAAAAAUCUGAUGGUGACUUAUCUGAUGAUGAAGUAGCUUAUCUAGCUAAGAAAUUCAAGAAGUUCAGGUUCAAGAAAAGAAGACAAUCACAGGGUCAGACUUGUUUUGGAUGUGGAAAAUCUGGUCACUUUAUUACAAGUUAUCCAAGUAACACAAGGGCUCAAACUUAUAGAAAACCAGAGAAUUUCAACAACAAAAAUAAAGGUAGAAGAAGGCUUUCCUCACUGGUUGGGAAUCAAGCUCUGAAGAAGAAAAAGAAAAAAUAAUUUCAGGGGAUGAAGGAACCUGUCUAUUCAGGGCUAUUCAUGAGUCUCUGUAAUACCCCUAAUUUUAAAAGGGACAGUCCUGAAAUUUAAUAAAUUGUUUAAAUAGUAUUUUUAUUUAAUUAAUUGUUUAAAUUGUAUUUUAUGUAAUCAAUUGGUUAAAUUGCAUUUGUUUAUUUC